AAUGUGCAUAUGUAAUAAUUUAGAAAAGAAAAAAAAACAUGUAGGGUUAAUUUCUGUGGGUUCGCGAAUACAUUUCUUCUCUUCAAUUUUCCGUCUCCUCCAUCAUCUCCUCCGUCGUCUCCUCCGCUCUAUUCAUUUUGCCUUUUCCUUGAAUCUCUGUGUUGUUCGUUCCGCUGCUAAGCUUCAUUUCAUUCGCUCUGUUCCAACUCCGCCGACCUGUUCCAUCACUUUCAAGCUCAAGCUCCGAUCUCCGCUUUUAGGGAGUUGGUAAAUCUGCAGUUUUUAAGUAGCUUGAUUGGACAUUCUGUUUUGGUAAGUUGGAUUUCACAUGUUCUUGUUUACAAAUAUAGUUUUGGUUUGAAGAAAACAUAAGCUAUAUUACCUCCAGUUGGGAUUAUAUGGGGAGGAACAACUAAUCGAGGUUGACUGAAAUUAAAAGUUGGCUAGCCACCAAAGAAUUGGACCAACGAAUUGAUCUUAGGCGACUUCUUGAUCUCCUUGCGCUUGAUCUUAUUACUCAACUGAUGGUUUUCAAGACGACUUAAUGAUAACCGUUAAAUGGACCAAUCUCGAGAGAACUUACUGGAAUUACAAGUCUUAAACUUGUGUAAGUCUUUGUAUAAUUUCACCGUUGUGUAUUAGUUCAUUUAGGUGAUAUACAUCCUUAGUUGAAGUUUUGUGCCAUGUCAUGUGAUUUGUUUAUGAUGGAUUGUGUCUCCUUUGUUUCAAGGAUGUCUCAAACAAUGACUUGUGUAGAACAAUACCAAUUAGAGGACCAUUGAGCACAUACCUUUAAACAAGUAGGUUUCUGAAUUUUUUAAACUAAAAACACAAUGAACAAUCAUGAUGAGUACUUAUAUUAUUUAAAUUACUUUUAAAUACAUUAUUUACUUUUCUUUUAU
Benincasa hispida (wax gourd) is the source of this 902-nucleotide long non-coding RNA. RefSeq lists it as uncharacterized. The record is from RefSeq and is a predicted model, not a curated record. Lineage: Eukaryota; Viridiplantae; Streptophyta; Magnoliopsida; Cucurbitales; Cucurbitaceae.